UAGGGAAUUUUUCACAAUGAGCGAAAGCUUGAUGGAGCAAUGCCGCGUGAACGAUGAAGGUCUUUAAGAUUGUAAAGUUCUUUUAUUUGGGAAGAAUGACUUUAGCAGGUAAUGGCUAGAGUUUGACUGUACCAUUUUGAAUAAGUGACGACUAACUAUGUGCCAGCAGUCGCGGUAAUACAUAGGUCGCAAGCGUUAUCCGGAUUUAUUGGGCGUAAAGCAAGCGCAGGCGGAUUGAAAAGUCUGGUGUUAAAGGCAGCUGCUUAGCAGUUGUAUGCAUUGGAAACUAUUAAUCUAGAGUGUGGUAGGGAGUUUUGGAAUUUCAUGUGGAGCGGUGAAAUGCGUAGAUAUAUGAAGGAACACCAGUGGCGAAGGCGAAAACUUAGGCCAUUACUGACGCUUAGGCUUGAAAGUGUGGGGAGCAAAUAGGAUUAGAUACCCUAGUAGUCCACACCGUAAACGAUAGAUACUAGCUGUCGGGGCGAUCCCCUCGGUAGUGAAGUUAACACAUUAAGUAUCUCGCCUGGGUAGUACAUUCGCAAGAAUG
Molecule: ribosomal RNA, 547 nt
Filed under: uncultured bacterium
Lineage: Bacteria
Description: bacterial SSU rRNA
Rfam family: Bacterial small subunit ribosomal RNA
Source: RNAcentral